Harpia harpyja (harpy eagle) is the source of this 1322-nucleotide long non-coding RNA. RefSeq lists it as uncharacterized. NCBI's taxonomy places the organism in Eukaryota, Metazoa, Chordata, Aves, Accipitriformes, Accipitridae. The transcript has 3 exons. The record is from RefSeq and is a predicted model, not a curated record.
AUGAUCAGACGUGUGUCUGAUCAGAUGCAGGUCAUUGGGGGAGCUUGCAAUGAGUUGGAGCCACUUGGAUUCCCUGCCCCUGUGCAGCACCAGCCCACAUCACUGGAACAUCUUCCCCUCAGAACAGUCGUGGGUGGAAGCUGCUGAGCUGUGCUGGUGAAGGUCAAGCACCUUGGAAAUUGCCAAGUCCUAUGUUGUUGUCUGAGGCUGAGCAUGGGGACUCACUGGUGGGUGGUGGUAGCUGAGGGGUUGGUAUCAGGGCACUAAAUCCACACUUGGGGCUGUUGUCUACUGCUAUGGAAGGUCAGGUCCACGGGUUUACUAGCAUCCAUUUAAUUUAAGAAAAAUUAAUAAAAAAGCAUAAAACAUUUGGUUUGUUAGAAUUGUUGCGAGAAGAUUUUAAAAAGCAUAUUUCAAAGCUUUGCUUAAUAAGGAUGCGUGGCUCUCUUGCCUUUCUUCACUGGUUUAACAGGAUGCAAUGAAGAUGCUGUCCCUCUCCAGCAUCUGUUAGAAUGAUGAUUGAGUUACCUGAAUGUGGAGGAGGGUUUUUUAAGUGUUCGGAGUAGGGGCAGGCUGGUAACCAAGCAAGGUUUAAAUCUUACAAGGCUGUAUUUCUCUUCUCUCCAAACUACUGAAAGUAUUUCUUUGCGAGGAGAAUUUUCCUGCACUCCCGAGUAAGUGUUGCAAGAGAAUAUUUAAAACAUUGCUGGCGGUGCCUUCUAGCACUAAACCUAAUUAAGUUUCUUUCAUGUCUUGGAGGACUGCACAUGCUUGCUUUCAGGAGGAUGGCAAAGCGCCGGCACUGCCAGGAGAUCUGUGUCAAUGUGUGAGGUACCUCUGCAGUAAAAAGUAAAUGACAGUCAGAAAUUGGUAGCUGGUGCUUAUAAUACAGACCCAAGAAGCUAAGAUUGACAUUUGCUGGCAGCAGCCAUCUCUCAGUGAGAUCUCUCCACCACUGCCAACCAGCUCUUCCAGGCUGUGCAGUCUGGCACAGAAAGAGACAAAGCCAGACUGAGUCAUUUACAAAAACAAGGCGCCGCCCAUUAUUUUAGCACGCUGGAGUGGACUACUGCUGGGAGAUCUCGAGUGCCAAACAAUAAAUGAAUCCUCUCCGGUUAAUCGUCACCCCUGCCAAUGAGACGGAGCUUUUGGAUGGCGAUUACAUUAAAAAUCCUACAGACUUUGAUCAUAAUAGACAACAUUGCUAUAGCAACCAAAGUAUGAAACACUAAUAACUGAGCUGACUGGACAGACUGAAAAAUUCAGUGGCAACCCUGAUGUACAGAGGGUAACUGGAUCCAGAGGAAAGUCUUGUGCCUCUG